RNAcentral lists this ribosomal RNA (428 nucleotides) under uncultured bacterium. Its description in RNAcentral is "partial 16S ribosomal RNA". It matches the Rfam family "Bacterial small subunit ribosomal RNA", at positions 354 to 796 of the family's 1533-position model. The record is from RNAcentral.
GUGGGGAAUAUUGGGCAAUGGGCGCAAGCCUGACCCAGCAACGCCGCGUGAGGGAAGAAGGCUUUCGGGUUGUAAACCUCUGUCCUUGGUGACGAAAAAAAUGACGGUAGCCAAGGAGGAAGCCCCGGCUAACUACGUGCCAGCAGCCGCGGUAAUACGUAGGGGGCGAGCGUUGUCCGGAAUUACUGGGCGUAAAGGGUGCGUAGGUGGCCUUUUAAGUUGGAUGUGAAAUACCCGGGCUUAACUUGGGGGGUGCAUCCAAAACUGGGAGGCUAGAGUGCAGGAGAGGAAAGCGGAAUUCCUAGUGUAGCGGUGAAAUGCGUAGAUAUUAGGAGGAACACCAGUGGCGAAGGCGGCUUUCUGGACUGUAACUGACACUGAGGCACGAAAGCGUGGGGAGCAAACAGGAUUAGAAACCCUAGUAGUCC